GAGGGCUGCGGGAGUGACAGAUCGGCAGCUCGGCGCUCGGCUGCGGGGCCUGGGGCGCGCUGCGCGUUCCAGGGAGAAAGCUUCGUGCGCGAGCGCAGAGCUCCGCCCCUUCCGGAGAGGUCCCAGGCUGCUACCUGCGUAGCUCCCGGCAGCCGCGGGGAGCGAAGUGUCAACCUGCUGUGCUCAGUUGCCGACACAGUGGAGAAUUCCAUCCGCCUUCGCCCAUCUGUCACACCCAGUCCACUCAGUCCACCUUCUCUUUCAUCGUCUGCUUCCUGUGCUUUGCACUAACAGUGCUUUGUAAACCUAUCAAUGGAAACCCUUUAAAAUGAAUCAUCACGUUCUAGGAAUGGAGCUUUUGGUUUUUUCAAUACUAAGCAAAGCCAAAGAGCCGGAAGUUUCACCACCACCACCUCUAAGCCAGCACAGAUGAGUACUCAGAAAUUCUGAGAGCCUUUAUAUCUCCUGCUGGCCCAGGAAUAACAGAGACCCAUCCCUGCGCUUUAAAACCAGUUCCAGGUCUGUGAUAAAUUUCCACUAACCACGAUUGAGUUUCUCUUUCUCUGCAUCCUUUGCUCUGAUUCCUUACUUCUUCCUUUCUCUGUUGCAUGACAUCUCCCAUGCCAUCAGUUUCAUGAAGAAAUGCUUCUCUGGCAAAUGCCUGUAAAUAGCUCUGAAGAGGUGAUUCCGAUAGCUCUAUGCAGAAUAUGCAGUGAAAGGCUCCUUUAAGGCUGUUUUGAUCGCUUGGACUUUAUCCUCAAAGGGAGACAAGAAAAUGGAAAGAAAAAAAGUACUUCAGUAGAAAAGCUGCCAUCCUUACUUGUUGCUGUGGCUCCCUCCCAAGAUCGAUUCUUAUCUCUCUGAAAUGUAAGUCCAAAUAAACCCUUCCUUCUAUAA
This is a long non-coding RNA of Mastomys coucha (southern multimammate mouse), 897 nucleotides long. RefSeq lists it as uncharacterized. The transcript is spliced from 5 exons. NCBI's taxonomy places the organism in Eukaryota, Metazoa, Chordata, Mammalia, Rodentia, Muridae. The record is from RefSeq and is a predicted model, not a curated record.